GACGUAGGGCGCGAGCGUUGUCCGGAUUUAUUGGGCGUAAAGAGCGCGCAGGCGGUCGUUCAAGUCGCGUGUGAAAGCCCCCGGCUCAACUGGGGAGGGUCACGCGAUACUGAUCGACUCGAAGGCAGGAGAGGGAAGUGGAAUUCCCGGUGUAGUGGUGAAAUGCGUAGAUAUCGGGAGGAACACCAGUGGCGAAGGCGACUUCCUGGCCUGUUCUUGACGCUGAGGCGCGAAAGCUAGGGGAGCAAACGGG
RNAcentral lists this ribosomal RNA (253 nucleotides) under uncultured bacterium. RNAcentral's name for it is "partial 16S ribosomal RNA". It matches the Rfam family "Bacterial small subunit ribosomal RNA", at positions 524 to 776 of the family's 1533-position model. The record is from RNAcentral.